This 1411-nucleotide ribosomal RNA is filed under the name uncultured organism. RNAcentral describes it as "bacterial SSU rRNA". It matches the Rfam family "Bacterial small subunit ribosomal RNA". The record is from RNAcentral.
GGCAGGCUUACACAUGCAAGUCGAGGGGUAACAGUUCCGAUUUAUCGGAAGCUGACGACCGGCGCACGGGUGAGUAACGCGUAUGCAACCUGCCUGUAACUGAAGCAUAGCCCGGGGAAACCCGGAUUAAUUCUUCGUAAUACUUUUUAAAGGCAUCUUUUUAAAGUUAAAGCUUCGGCGGUUACAGAUGGGCAUGCGUGCCAUUAGCUUGAUGGUAAGGUAAAGGCUUACCAUGGCUACGAUGGCUAGGGGGUCUUAAAGGAUGGUCCCCCACACUGGUACUGAGACACGGACCAGACUCCUACGGGAGGCAGCAGUGAGGAAUAUUGGUCAAUGGGCGAAAGCCUGAACCAGCCAUGCCGCGUGCAGGAUGACUGCCCUAUGGGUUGUAAACUGCUUUUAUAUGGGAAGAAAGAUUUCUACGUGUAGAAGUUUGACGGUACCGUACGAAUAAGCAUCGGCUAACUCCGUGCCAGCAGCCGCGGUAAUACGGAGGAUGCAGGCGUUAUCCGGAUUUAUUAGGUUUAAAGGGUGCGCAGGCGGAAUAGUAAGUCAGUGGUGAAAUACUACAGCUCAACUGUAGAAUUGCCAUUGAUACUGUUAUUCUUGAGUGUAGUUGAGGUAGGCGGAAUGUGUAAUGUAGCGGUGAAAUGCAUAGAUAUUACACAGAACACCAAUUGCGUAGGCAGCUUACUAAGCUAUCACUGACGCUCAUGCACGAAAGCGUGGGGAGCAAACAGGAUUAGAUACCCUGGUAGUCCACGCCGUAAACUUUGAUCACUCGUUGCUGGCAAUAUAUCGUCAGUGACUAAGCAAAAGCAUUAAGUGAUCCACCUGGGGAGUACGUUCGCAAGAAUGAAACUCAAAGGAAUUGACGGGGGCCCGCACAAGCGGAGGAACAUGUGGUUUAAUUCGAUGAUACGCGAGGAACCUUACCUGGGCUUAAACUUUUUGAGACGGGUCUGGAAACAGAUCUUCCCUUCGGGGCUCAUUAAGAGGUGCUGCAUGGCUGUCGUCAGCUCGUGCCGUGAGGUGUCGGGUUAAGUCCCAUAACGAGCGCAACCCCUAUCGUUAGUUGCCAGCGGAUAAUGCCGGGGACUCUAGCGAAACUGCCAUCGUAAGGUGGAGGAAGGUGGGGAUGACGUCAAGUCAGCACGGCCCUUAUGUCCAGGGCUACACACGUGUUACAAUGGACGGUACAAAGGGUGGCUACCUGGCAACAGGAUGCUAAUCUCCAAAACCGUUCUCAGUUCGGAUCGAAGUCUGCAAUUCGACUUCGUGAAGUUGGAUUCGCUAGUAAUCGUGCAUCACCCACGGCACGGUGAUACGUUCCCGGGCCUUGUACACACCGCCCGUCAAGCCAUGGAAGCUGGGAGUGCAUGAAGUUCGUAACCAUUUAGGAGCGACAUAG